This 317-nucleotide ribosomal RNA is filed under the name uncultured fungus. Its description in RNAcentral is "SSU rRNA". It matches the Rfam family "Eukaryotic small subunit ribosomal RNA", at positions 1344 to 1680 of the family's 1831-position model. Lineage: Eukaryota; Fungi. The record is from RNAcentral.
UAACCUGCUAAAUAGCUAGGCUUAGCUUCAGCUAGGUCGUCAGCUUCUUAGAGGGACUAUCGGUGUUUAACCGAUGGAAGUUUGAGGCAAUAACAGGUCUGUGAUGCCCUUAGAUGUUCUGGGCCGCACGCGCGCUACACUGACCGAACCAGCGAGUUUAUCACCUUAGCCGGAAGGCUUGGGUAAUCUUGUGAAACUCGGUCGUGAUGGGGAUAGAGCAUUGCAAUUAUUGCUCUUCAACGAGGAAUACCUAGUAAGCGUGAGUCAUCAGCUCGCGUUGAAUACGUCCCUGCCCUUUGUACACACCGCCCGUCGCU